AGUGGCGAACGGGUGAGUAAUGUAUCGGAACGUGCCCAGUCGUGGGGGAUAACGUAGCGAAAGCUACGCUAAUACCGCAUACGAUCUAUGGAUGAAAGCGGGGGAUCGCAAGACCUCGCGCGAUUGGAGCGGCCGAUAUCAGAUUAGGUAGUUGGUGAGGUAAAGGCUCACCAAGCCGACGAUCUGUAGCUGGUCUGAGAGGACGACCAGCCACACUGGGACUGAGACACGGCCCAGACUCCUACGGGAGGCAGCAGUGGGGAAUUUUGGACAAUGGGCGCAAGCCUGAUCCAGCAAUGCCGCGUGCAGGAUGAAGGCCUUCGGGUUGUAAACUGCUUUUGUACGGAGCGAAAAGGCUUCCACUAAUACUGGGGGCUCAUGACGGUACCGUAAGAAUAAGCACCGGCUA
Molecule: ribosomal RNA, 409 nt
Filed under: uncultured bacterium
Lineage: Bacteria
Description: bacterial SSU rRNA
Rfam family: Bacterial small subunit ribosomal RNA
Source: RNAcentral